Long non-coding RNA from Peromyscus eremicus (cactus mouse), 1170 nucleotides. RefSeq lists it as uncharacterized. The transcript is spliced from 3 exons. The record is from RefSeq and is a predicted model, not a curated record. Lineage: Eukaryota; Metazoa; Chordata; Mammalia; Rodentia; Cricetidae.
AAUACCGUCCAAACUACAAAUAAUGAUGGCUAACUCUCAAUGAUAAGAAAUUAAGGCAGAAAUGGAUUUAACUAACAGUUGAGCACAUUAGAAGCACAGCACUCUCCUUUGCCAUGGGCCACAGCUGAUUGGUCUUCGUGGUUGAUCCUCUUAUAAACUCAGACUGAGCAUGCUUCUGAACUAGCUUUUCUGUGCCUCAGGUUUUAGAAUCCUUAGAUGUGAGGAUUAAAUAUACUGGUGCUUACAAAGUGCCAGGAGAGAGAGCGACAUGUGAGUAUAGCUAUUGCCAAUUACAACCAUACUAAAAAAUAAGUGAUGUCAAUAAAAAUCUAAUCAGAAUCACCCAGGAGAUCAUUGUGUUUUAUGAAGUCAUGAAAGAGGGAAGGAGAAUUCAGGGCAACCGGAAAUCAUUUUGGAUUGAAAUAACCCAAAUGUGAGUCACUGGAGGUCAGAGGUCAAUGCAUCAGAACACCUUUCAACCAUCAUCAGAGAAGCUCUUCCUUCCAGUAUAUGGAGAUUUACAUAUAUACUUCCAACUACGCAACAUGCAGAGAGUACAAGACUAUGGAGUACUCAUUCCUAAGUGGGACAUCUAGAUCACAUCUCUCCGUGCAAAGUUCUGGGAUCUUUGUGGAAGAGGGACAGAAGGAUUGUAAGAGCUUGCAGUGGCCAGUAACAUCAAGGAAAGAGUGAUUUCUAGAUACAACAAGAGUCUACAGGAGGCUCAGAUGUGGUCAGGAUUUCACACUUAACAUACCACAAUGGCUGAGGAAGCUGCUGCUGCGGCUGCCUGUGUGUAAUGGAAGGUAAGGUCAAUCCUCAAGGGACCCCAAAGAUCGCAUCCUCACCCACAAUGGCCAGCAUGAAGAAUUCACCAAGUUGCCAAAACCUGACACAACUGCCAGGCCCAUCCACUCUCCUUAGGGUUAGAUCUGACAGUGUGAAGUCUGUUGUCAAAUCGGUGGAGGCCCAUUUUCUUGAGAACCACCACAAACUGAUUGGACUACAAGGCUGAUGAUGAUAGGGGGAACGUGGAACCCUCUGUAAAACAGAGGGGCAGGAGAAACCCGAUUGAUGAUCUGUUGCAAAACAAAUAUCCUCUUUCACCCUCCAAAAAACUAGGGGAGAAAUUAAAGCAUAUAAAAUAAACACUUUGGAUUUCUAGUAAAA